GCGAGUCUGGGGUUAAACCCAGGCGCACUGCUCAGUAACACGUAGUCAAUCUACCCUUAGGAUCGGUCUAAUCCCGGGAAACUGGGGCCGAGGACCGGAUAGGUAAGGGAUACUGGAAUGUUCCUUUACCCAACUAAGGAUGAGACUGCGGCCUAUCAGGUUGUUGCCAGGGUAAAGUCCUGGCGAGCCUAUAACAGGUACGGGCCUUGAAAGAGGGAACCCGGAGUUGGAUUCUGAGACAUGAAUCCAGGCCCUACGGGGUGCAGCAAGCGCGAAACGUCCGCAAUGCCCGCAAGGGUGACGGCGGAAUUCGGAGUGGUUUCUCCGUUAGGAGGAACCUUUUGCCAAGUCUAGAUAGCUUGGUGAAUAAGUGGUGGGUAAGACGGGUGCCAGCCGCCGCGGUAAUACCCGCGCCACGAGUGAUAACCAUUAUUACUGGGUUUAAAGCGUUCGUAGCCUGUCUUGAAAGUUCUCGAUGAAAUCCCGUAGCUAACUGCGGGGCUUGUCGAGGAUACUGCAAGACUAGGGACCGGGAGAGGCCAAAAGUAUUCCUGGGGUAGGAGUAAAAUCCUAUAAUCCCGGGAGGACUACCUGUGGCGAAGGCGUUUGGCUAGAACGGAUCCGACGGUGAGGGACGAAAGCUAGGGGAGCAAGGCGGAUUAGAUACCCGCGUAGUCCUAGCUGUAAACGAUGCCCAUUAGACAUUGGCAGCCCCACGAGGACUGCCAGAGUCGUA
Molecule: ribosomal RNA, 736 nt
Filed under: uncultured archaeon
Lineage: Archaea
Description: bacterial SSU rRNA
Rfam family: Archaeal small subunit ribosomal RNA
Source: RNAcentral